RNAcentral lists this ribosomal RNA (253 nucleotides) under uncultured bacterium. RNAcentral describes it as "partial 16S ribosomal RNA". It matches the Rfam family "Bacterial small subunit ribosomal RNA", at positions 524 to 776 of the family's 1533-position model. The record is from RNAcentral.
UACGAAGGGGGCUAGCGUUGCUCGGAAUUACUGGGCGUAAAGGGAGCGUAGGCGGACUGUUUAGUCAGAGGUGAAAGCCCAGGGCUCAACCUUGGAACUGCCUUUGAUACUGGGUAUCUCGAGUCCGGAAGAGGUGAGUGGAAUUCCGAGUGUAGAGGUGAAAUUCGUAGAUAUUCGGAGAAACAUCAGUGGCGAAAGCGGCUUCCUGGACCAGAACUGACGAUCAGGCACGAAAGCGUGGGGAGCAAACAGG